ACGUAUAUUCAACUCUUCCAAAGUUUUUCAAUGCGAGAGGGGUUAUAUCCACAUACCCAUAGCUAGAUAUGUGUAGGACACGAGUGUCGGAUAAGAAAAAUGAAUAGUCAGAGCAACAUAGCUUAUAAGAAACCUUUUUAAUUAAUGUGGAGGAAGUGAUGUUGUUAAGUUUCUGCAAACCUAAGCUUUUCUCUACGAUAUUUAUGAGAGCAUAUCGUAUUUACAGAAAUAACCUGAUAUUGCAUAAACCUAAGCUUUUCU
Molecule: long non-coding RNA, 261 nt
Organism: Hibiscus syriacus
Lineage: Eukaryota; Viridiplantae; Streptophyta; Magnoliopsida; Malvales; Malvaceae
Exons: 3
Source: RefSeq, a predicted model, not a curated record